RNAcentral lists this non-coding RNA (28 nucleotides) under Homo sapiens (human). The record is from RNAcentral. Lineage: Eukaryota; Metazoa; Chordata; Mammalia; Primates; Hominidae.
CCACUACUCAGAGGCCGAGCUUGGCUGC